CGGGACGGGUGAGUAAUGUCUGGGAAACGGCCUGAUGGAGGGGGAUAACUACUGGAAACGGUAGCUAAUACCGCAUAAUGUCUACGGACCAAAGCGGGGGACCUCCGGGCCUCGCGCCAUCAGAUGAACCCAUAUGGGAUUAGCUAGUAGGUGGGGUAACGGCUCACCUAGGCGACGAUCCCUAGCUGGUCUGAGAGGAUGACCAGCCACACUGGAACUGAGACACGGUCCAG
This 233-nucleotide ribosomal RNA is filed under the name uncultured bacterium. RNAcentral's name for it is "partial 16S ribosomal RNA". It matches the Rfam family "Bacterial small subunit ribosomal RNA", at positions 100 to 334 of the family's 1533-position model. The record is from RNAcentral.